GAUGAACGCUGGCGGCGUGCCUAAUACAUGCAAGUCGAGCGAACGGACGAGAAGCUUGCUUUUCUGAUGUUAGCGGCGGAGGGGUGAGUAACACGUGGAUCACCUACCUAUAAGACUGGGAUAACUUCGGGACACCGGAGCUAAUACCGGAUAAUAUUUUGAACCGCAUGGUUGAAAAGUGAAAGACGGUCUUGCUGGCACUUAUCGAUGGAUCUGAGCUGCAUUAGCUAGUUGGUAAGGUAACGGCUUACCAAGGCAACGAUGCGUAGCCGACCUGAGAGAGUGAUCGGCCACACUGGAACUGAAACGCGGUCCAGACGACUACGGGAGGCAGCAGUAUGGAAUCUUCCGCAAUAGUCGAAAGCCUGACGGAGCAACGCCGCGUGAGUGAUGAAGGUCUUCGGAGCGUAAAACUCUGUUAUUAGUGAAGAACAUAUGUGUAAGUAACUGUGCACAUCGUGACGGUACCUAAUCAGAAAGCCACGGCUAACUACGUG
RNAcentral lists this ribosomal RNA (497 nucleotides) under uncultured bacterium. RNAcentral describes it as "partial 16S ribosomal RNA". It matches the Rfam family "Bacterial small subunit ribosomal RNA", at positions 28 to 507 of the family's 1533-position model. The record is from RNAcentral.